Molecule: ribosomal RNA, 900 nt
Filed under: [Eubacterium] sulci
Lineage: Bacteria; Bacillati; Bacillota; Clostridia; Peptostreptococcales; Anaerovoracaceae
Description: bacterial SSU rRNA
Rfam family: Bacterial small subunit ribosomal RNA
Source: RNAcentral
CAAAUGAAGAGUUUGAUCCUGGCUCAGGAUGAACGCUGGCGGCGUGCCUAAUACAUGCAAGUCGAACGCUGGAGAUCUAGCUUGCUAGAUUGAAGGAGUGGCGAACGGGUGAGUAAUACAUAAGCAACCUACCCACGAAGACUGGGAUAAUCUCUGGAAACGGGGACUAAUACCGGAUAGGUAAUCGGAAGGCAUCUUCUGGUUAUUAAAGGUUAAAAACACUGGUGGAUGGGCUUAUGGCGCAUUAGUUAGUUGGUGAGGUAACGGCCCACCAAGACGAUGAUGCGUAGCCGGCCUGAGAGGGUGAACGGCCNNNNNNNNNGCAGUAGGGAAUUUUCGGCAAUGGGGGAAACCCUGACCGAGCAACGCCGCGUGAGUGAUGACGGCCUUCGGGUUGUAAAGCUCUGUUGUAAGGGAAGAACGGUAGAUAGAGAAUAUCUAAGUGACGGUACCUUACCAGAAAGCCACGGCUAACUACGUGCCAGCAGCCGCGGUAAUACGUAGGUGGCGAGCGUUAUCCGGAAUUAUUGGGCGUAAAGGGUGCGUAGGCGGCCUGUUAAGUAAGUGGUUAAAUUGUUGGGCUCAACCCAAUCCAGCCACUUAAACUGGCAGGCUAGAGUAUUGGAGAGGCAAGUGGAAUUCCAUGUGUAGCGGUAAAAUGCGUAGAUAUAUGGAGGAACACCAGUGGCGAAGGCGGCUUGCUAGCCAAAGACUGACGCUCAUGCACGAAAGCGUGGGGAGCAAAUAGGAUUAGAUACCCUAGUAGUCCACGCCGUAAACGAUGAAUACUAAGUAUUGGGGAAACUCAGUGCUGCAGCUAACGCAAUAAGUAUUCCGCCUGUGGAGUAUGCACGCAAGUGUGAAACAUAAAGGAAUUGACGGGGGCCCGCACAAGCGGUG